Molecule: unclassified non-coding RNA, 148 nt
Organism: Macaca fascicularis (crab-eating macaque)
Lineage: Eukaryota; Metazoa; Chordata; Mammalia; Primates; Cercopithecidae
Rfam family: Metazoan signal recognition particle RNA
About the family: The signal recognition particle (SRP) is a universally conserved ribonucleoprotein. It is involved in the co-translational targeting of proteins to membranes.
Source: Ensembl
GCUGGGCGUGGUGGCGCACGCCUGUAAUCCCAGCUACUCAGGAGGCUGAGGCAGGAGAACUGCUUGAACCCAGGAGGCGGAGGUUGCAGUGAGCCGGAAUCGUGCCACUGCACGCCAGCCUGGGUGACAGAGUGAGACUCUGUCUCCA